ACGAACGCUGGCGGCGUGCUUAACACCUGCAAGUCGAACGGAAAGGCCCUGCUUUUGUGGGGUGCUCGAGUGGCGAACGGGUGAGUAACACGUGAGUAACCUGCCCUUGACUUUGGGAUAACUUCAAGAAACUGGGGCUAAUACCGGAUAGGAGCUCCUGCUGCAUGGUGGGGGUUGGAAAGUUUCGGCGGUUGGGGAUGGACUCGCGGCUUAUCAGCUUGUUGGUGGGGUAGUGGCUUACCAAGGCUUUGACGGGUAGCCGGCCUGAGAGGGUGACCGGCCACAUUGGGACUGAGAUACGGCCCAGACUCCUACGGGAGGCAGCAGUGGGGAAUAUUGCACAAUGGGCGGAAGCCUGAUGCAGCAACGCCGCGUGCGGGAUGACGGCCUUCGGGUUGUAAACCGCUUUCGCCUGUGACGGAGCGUGAGUGACGGUAAUGGGUAAAGAAGCACCGGCUAACUACGUG
Molecule: ribosomal RNA, 467 nt
Filed under: uncultured bacterium
Lineage: Bacteria
Description: partial 16S ribosomal RNA
Rfam family: Bacterial small subunit ribosomal RNA
Source: RNAcentral